RNAcentral lists this ribosomal RNA (458 nucleotides) under uncultured bacterium. RNAcentral describes it as "partial 16S ribosomal RNA". It matches the Rfam family "Bacterial small subunit ribosomal RNA", at positions 338 to 795 of the family's 1533-position model. The record is from RNAcentral.
CCUACGGGCGGCUGCAGUGAGGAAUAUUGGUCAAUGGGCGAGAGCCUGAACCAGCCAAGUCGCGUGAGGGAGUACUGCCCUAUGGGUUGUAAACCUCUUUUGUCGGGGAGCAAAAGCCGGACGUGUCCGGCUGUGAGCGUACCCGAAGAUAAGGCAUCGGCUAACUCCGUGCCAGCAGCCGCGGUAAUACGGAGGAUGCGAGCGUGUGCAGGAUUUGUGGGGGUUAAAGGGUGCGCAGGCGGAUAUUUAAGUCAGCGGUAAAAUCGUGGGGCUCAACCCCAUCCAGCCGUUGAAACUGGGGCUCUAGAGUGUGCGAGAGGAAUGCGGAAUGCGUGGUGUAGCGGUGAAAUGCAUAGAUAUCACGCAGAACCCCGAUGGCGAAGGCAGCAUACCGGUGCACAACUGACGCUCAGGCACGAAAGCGUGGGUAUCGAACAGGAUUAGAUACCCUGGUAGUC